Molecule: long non-coding RNA, 205 nt
Filed under: Capsicum annuum
Lineage: Eukaryota; Viridiplantae; Streptophyta; Magnoliopsida; Solanales; Solanaceae
Description: long non-coding RNA (CANN_LNC012607)
Source: RNAcentral
UCAGUUUAAGAAUAGUCUUGGUUAUGUCAUGAUUAGUAGUACUCUUAGUCAGUUACAGAACUUAAAAAAAAUGAAUAAACUCAGUAUCAAUCGAGUCCCAUUCAGUAUUUAGUUCAGUCCACAGUAAACUCAGUCAAUUAGCAAAAUUCAGUAAUAAUCCAUCAGUCAAUGUAAACUUAGUAAACUCAGUACAGUUUAGUUAAAU